Molecule: ribosomal RNA, 482 nt
Filed under: Pseudomonas sp.
Lineage: Bacteria; Pseudomonadati; Pseudomonadota; Gammaproteobacteria; Pseudomonadales; Pseudomonadaceae
Description: bacterial SSU rRNA
Source: RNAcentral
GRUUGAACGCUGGCGGCAGGCCUAACACAUGCAAGUCGAGCGGAUGAGAGGAGCUUGCUCCUCGAUUCAGCGGCGGACGGGUGAGUAAUGCCUAGGAAUCUGCCUAGUAGUGGGGGACAACGUUUCGAAAGGAACGCUAAUACCGCAUACGUCCUACGGGAGAAAGUGGGGGAUCUUCGGACCUCACGCUAUUAGAUGAGCCUAGGUCGGAUUAGCUAGUUGGUAGGGUAAAGGCCUACCAAGGCGACGAUCCGUAACUGGUCUGAGAGGAUGAUCAGUCACACUGGAACUGAGACACGGUCCAGACUCCUACGGGAGGCAGCAGUGGGGAAUAUUGGACAAUGGGCGAAAGCCUGAUCCAGCCAUGCCGCGUGUGUGAAGAAGGCCUUCGGGUCGUAAAGCACUUUAAGUUGGGAGGAAGGGCUUACAGCGAAUACCUGUGAGUUUUGACGUUACCGACAGAAUAAGCACCGGCUAACUUC